GAUGAACGCUGGCGGCGUGCCUAAUACAUGCAAGUCGAGCGAACAGAUGAGGAGCUUGCUCCUCUGACGUUAGCGGCGGACGGGUGAGUAACACGUGGAUAACCUACCUAUAAGACUGGGAUAACUUCGGGAAACCGGAGCUAAUACCGGAUAAUAUAUUGAACCGCAUGGUUCAAUAGUGAAAGACGGUUUUGCUGUCACUUAUAGAUGGAUCCGCGCCGCAUUAGCUAGUUGGUAAGGUAACGGCUUACCAAGGCAACGAUGCGUAGCCGACCUGAGAGAGUGAUCGGCCACACUGGAACUGAGACACGGUCCAGACUCCUACGGGAGGCAGCAGUAGGGAAUCUUCCGCAAUGGGCGAAAGCCUGACGGAGCAACGCCGCGUGAGUGAUGAAGGUCUUCGGAUCGUAAAACUCUGUUAUUCGGGAAGAACAAAUGUGUAAGUAACUAUGCACGUCUUGACGGUACCUAAUCAGAAAGCCACGGCUAACUACGUG
This 497-nucleotide ribosomal RNA is filed under the name uncultured bacterium. RNAcentral's name for it is "partial 16S ribosomal RNA". It matches the Rfam family "Bacterial small subunit ribosomal RNA", at positions 28 to 507 of the family's 1533-position model. The record is from RNAcentral.